GACGAACGCUGGCGGCGUGCUUAACACAUGCAAGUCGAACGGAAAGGCCCUGCUUUUGUGGGGUGCUCGAGUGGCGAACGGGUGUGUAACACGUGAGUAACCUGCCCUUGAUUUUGGUAUAACUUCAGGAAACUGGGGCUUAUACCGGAUAGGAGCUCCUGCUGCAUGGUGGGGGUUGGAAAUUUUCGGCGGUUGGGGAUGGACUCGCGGUUUACCAGCUUGUGGGUGGGGUAGUGGCCUACCAAGGCUUUGACGGGUAGCCGGCGUGAGAGGGUGACCGGCCACAUUGGGACUGAGAUACGGCCCAGACUCCUACGGGAGAGAGCAGUGGGGAAUAUUGCACAAUGGGCGGGAGCCUGAUGCAGCAACGCCGCGUGCGGGAUGACGGCCUUCGGGUUGUAAACCGCUUUCGCCUGUGACGAAGCGUGAGUGACGGUAAUGGGUAAAGAAGCACCGGCUAACUACGUG
This 468-nucleotide ribosomal RNA is filed under the name uncultured bacterium. Its description in RNAcentral is "partial 16S ribosomal RNA". It matches the Rfam family "Bacterial small subunit ribosomal RNA", at positions 28 to 507 of the family's 1533-position model. The record is from RNAcentral.